RNAcentral lists this long non-coding RNA (6915 nucleotides) under Homo sapiens (human). RNAcentral describes it as "non-protein coding lnc-C2orf74-5:6". The record is from RNAcentral. Lineage: Eukaryota; Metazoa; Chordata; Mammalia; Primates; Hominidae.
AGAGAAGCAGCAGAGUCACUUCACCGACCAGACGCCGCGGCCACCGCCGACGCCGCCGCCAUUUUAACAGAGCGCUCGGGCUGCGCUCGGCUCUUUCCGCCCGGGCUUAGGAGCGGACGAGAGGCGCCUCGCGCUCUCAUUCCUCCGCCUCCCUCCCUUUCUCGCCUCUCCUCCGCCCCCCACCUCUCCCUCCGCACACACGCCGCACGCUCCACACCCCGCCGUGGCCGGCUCGCCGCCCUCCCUUUCCUCUUCCGUCCGGCCUCCCCGCCCUCGGUCCACCCCCUCCGCGCGCUCGCCCACCCCGCCCAGCCCGGAUCUCUGUCAGCGGCCGGAAGGGAAACGCGAAGCCAGCGCGGCCGCGGGGGGAGUCCGGGUGAGUAGGAGAAGAUGGCGGAGGCAACGGACGGGUCGCGGUUGCGUGGCGUCGCCCACCACGACCCACUCCACGGGCUCUGAGGCCCGGGGAGCGCCAGGUCACUCGCUCCGUCCUGUCCCCCGCCCCUGGGCUUCGCCAUUUUUCCCCAGGGCCUGGGUCGGGGAGUUGGUGCGGGUUUCUUUGGUGUCCCCGGCCUCUUCCGCGCUUAGGCUUUUGGGGUACGGGAAGCAAGGAGUCAACUUGGGUGCCGGGCCGGGUCUACGCCGUAGCCCUCUUUCGGGCGCAAGGGCCACUCCCCCCGGGGUCUGAGAGUGAAUCAGCCCAGGGCCCGGCUUAACUGCAUCGGUGAUUAUCGCUACCCUGCAGUUCCUUGAAGGUCCUCCGUCCUGGAGCAGUAAGAUCCUUGACGUAACUAGAAAUGGCAGGGUAAGGAGUGUUUGCCUGACAUCGUCUCGUUUUUACGGAAGAGGGCCCCUCACGAUGUGCCCAUCAGCCCCACCUGAAAUAGCAAGAAAUCUUCUUCAGCAGAGAGCGAAUAACAAGGAUAUUAAGAUAAAGAACAGGUGAAGGGGGCAGUCAGCUGAAGCUUGUAAGGGAAUUUUCCUCACGCCGGCACUUACCCCUUGCUUGCUAAUUUUUGUGUUCAACGUGUUUACAUAGACAUGUGACUGCAAAGUCCGAAAGAUCGUGUACAGAAUCUCUGAACGGUAACCAGAGUGUCUGUCAAGGCUCUGUAGUCAUUCUCUCGAUAGCUUUUGUGGAGGUUAUGGCACGCCCAUCUCUCCAUGCCAGAACCACCUGGUUCCAAAUGCUUUGCCUUUCUGCUGCUUGAAGUUGAUACUAUAAACAGUCUGCCCAACCCGUUUUGUUUCCCACUAGCAGGUGAUCCUUAGGAUUGUAGUUCUAUUCUACCAUCAUCUUCCCUUCUUCCUUGUCUUUCUCACAGAAUUGGGUUUUUGCAGACUUACUUUGGAUCCUGAGGCAGACAUUCGUUGUCCACUCAACAUACAUUCCCACGUAUCCCUUUUUUCCCUGCCAACACAACCCCAAUUAUUUUUAUUUGAAUUUUUUUUUUUUGAGACAAAGUCUCACUCUGUCGCCAAGGUUAGAGUGCAGUGGUGCGAUCACAGUUCACUACAGCCUCCACUUUAUGGGCUCAAGGGAUCCUCCCACUUCCCUAGUAGCUGGGGCUACAGGCGCUCUCCACCACACGUAACUAAUUGUUUUUUAUUUUUAGUAGGGACAGGGUCUUGCUAUGUUACCCAGGCUGGUCUCAAACUCCUGGCCUCAACUGAUCCUCCGGCCCAAAAUGUUAGGAUUACAGGUAUGAGCCAACGUGCUGGUCUCACGUUUUUUCAGGUAGCAGUUGAAACCAACCAUCAUGGUGAUCUGGCUUUUCUAGGGCUGGCCAUACAUAAUUGAGUUCCUCCUGAUAAAAGGUAAGCAACAAUCCUGAGAAACAUAGUGGGAGCCCUGUGUCUACAAAAAUUUAAAAGGUGGCUGGGCGCGUUGGCUCACUCCUGAAAUCCCGCACUUAGGGAGGCUGAGGUGAGCAAAUCACCUGAGGUCGGGAGCUCUAGACCGGCCUGACCAACAUGGACAAAGCUCAUCUCUGCUAAAAAUACAAAAUUAGGCAUGGUGGUGCAUGCCUGUAAUCCCAGCUACUCAGGAGGCUGAGGCAGGAGAAUCGCUUGAACCCGGGAGGCAGGGGUUGCGGUGAGCCGAGAUCGCGCCAUUGCACUCCAGCCUGGGAUAAGAGUGAAACUCCGUCUCAUAAAAAAAAAAAAAAAAAAAGGCCAGGCAUGGUGGUUCAUGCCUGUAAUCCCAGCGCUUUGGGAGGCCGAGGCGAGAAGAUCACUAAAUCAGGAGAUUGAGACCAUCCUGGCUAACACGGUGAAACCCCGUCUCUACUAAAAAUACAAAAAAUUAGCCAGGCAUGGUGGUGGGCGCCUGUAGUCCCAGCUACUUGGGAGGCUGAGGCAGGAGAAUGGCAUGAACCCAGGGAGCAAAGCUUGCAGUGAGCUGAGAUCGCGCCACUGCACUCCAGCCUGGGCGACACAGCAAGACUCCGUCUCAAAAAAAAAAAAAAAAAAUUACCUGGUCGUGGUGGCUCACGACUAUAAUCAUAGUACUUUGAGAGUCCAAGGCAGAUGGAUUGCUUGAGCCUGGGAGUUCUACAUCAACCUGGGCAACAUGGCAAAAGUCCAUCUCCAGUACAUAAGAAAAUUAGUGGAAUGUGGUGGUGCACACCUGUAAUCCCAGCUACUGGGGAGGCUGAGGUGGGAGGAUCACUAGAGCCCAGGAGAUUGAGACUGCAGUGAGCUGUGGUCAUACCACUGCAGUCUAGCCUGGGUGACAGAGUGAGACCCUCUCUGGAAAAAAAAAGAAAUGUAAGCAGAAAUCUGCAGGAUGGGUUCUUUGGGAAGAAUUCCCAAAAGAAUUCCUAAUACGAUGAGGGACAAAUUCAGCUAACAUACCAUUUAACCCUUUCUGCCUGAAACAUGGUCUUGAUGCACAAAGUAAUACCCAUCUUGUAAUUUUUUUAACAAUGAAAACUUUUACCCCAUUUGCGAUUUCAUUGUUUAAAAAAUUUGAUUAAACAGGCCGGGCACAGUGGCUCACGCCUGUAAUCCCAACACUUUGGGAGGCUGAGGCAGGUGGAUCACCUGAGGUCAGAGUUCAAGACCAGCCUUACCUACAUGCUGAAACCCCAUCUCUUCUAAAAAUAUAAAAAAUGAGCCGGGUGUGGUGGCGGGCACUUUGUAAUCCCAGCUACUCGGGAGGCUGAGGCUGGAGAAUUGCUUGAACCCGGGGGUGGAGGUUGCAGUGAGCCGAGAUUCUGCCAUUGCACUCCAGCCUGGGCAACAAGAGCAAAAAAAAUUCCAUCUCGAAAAAAAAUGAUAAAACAGAAUCAUAAAGUGUGGAUCCCUGAUGCAUCUUUGAACAACAGUCUAUGCUCAGACUGCUUAUGUGAGAAAAAUAAAAUGUAUUUUUCUUGGCUGGGCAUGGUGGCCUACACCUGUAUUCCCAGAACUUUGAGAGGCUAAGGAGGGCAGAUCACUUGAGGACAGGAGUUAGAGACCGGCCUGGCCAACGUAAUGAAACCCAUCUCUACUAAAAAUACAAAAAUUAGGCUGGGCGCAAUGGCUCACGCCUGUACUCCCAGCACUUUGGGAGGGGGAGGUGGGCAGAACACAAGGUCAGGAGUUCAAGACCAGCCUGGCCAACGUAGUGAAGCCUCGUCUCUACUAAAAAUACAAAAAUUAGCCGGGUUUGAUGGCGCAUGCCUAUAGUCCCAACUACUUGGGAGGCUGAGGCAAGAGAAUUGCUUGAACCCAGGAGGCAGAAGUUGCAGUGAGCCAAGAUCGCACCAGUGCACUCCAGCCUCGGCGACAGAGCAAGACUCCGUCUCAAAAAAAAAAAAAAGCCGGUUGUGGUGGAGGGCACCUGUAAUCCCAGCCACUCAGAAGGCUGAGGCAGGAGAAUCCCUUGAACCCGGGAGGCAGAGGUUGCAGUGAGCUGCAGUUGCCACUGCACUCCAGCCUGGAUGACAGAGCAAGACUCCUCAAAAAAGUUCUUUUUCUUUAAGCCAUUCUUCAGAUUUUCGUUACUUGUAACCAAACACAUUUCUAACUACUGAUUACAGAUACUCUUUUUUUUUUUUUUUUUUUUUUUUGAGUCUCGCUUUUUUUGCCCAGGCUGGAGUGCAGUGGAGUGAUCUCCGCUCACUGCCAGCUCCGCCUCCCGGGUUCAGGCCAUUCUCCUGCCUCAGCCUCCUGAGUAGCUGGGACUACAGGUGCCACCACCACACCUGUCUACUUUUUUGUAUUUUUAGUAGAGAUGGGGUUUCUCCAUGUUGGUCAGGCUGGUCUCGAACUCCCACCCUCAGGUGAUCCGCCCGCCUCGGCCUCCUAAAGUGCUGUGAUUACAGGCGUGAGCCACCGCGCCCGGCCAAGUGUGUAUAACUGUUGAUCAACAUUUUGAAGACCAGUUAUGACAGUUAAAUUAUUUGCCACAACUCAAAUGAACAGCAGAGCACUUUAUCACAAACUAACAUUCACCCUGGAAUGUACUGUACAGUCAACCUAUUCUGUCUCCUUCCAUCUCUCCAUUCCUAUGCCUUUCAUCUUUUUAUUUUAUUUUAAUUUUUUUUUGAGAUGGAGUCUUGCUCUGCUGCCCAGGGUGGAGUGCAGUGGCGCAAUCUCGGCUCACUGCAAGCUCUGCCUCCUGGGUUCAAGCGAUUCACCUGCCUCAGCCUCCUAAAUAGCUGGGAUUACAGAUGUGUGCCAUCACAUUGGGCUAAUAUUUAUAUUUUUAGUAGAGACAGGGAUCUUACUAUGUUGCCCAGGCUGUUCUUGAACUCGGUCUCAAGUGAUCCACCCACCUCAGCCUCCCAAAGUGAUGGGAUUACAGGUAUGAGCCACCAGCCCUGGCCUAAAUUUAAAAAAAAGGGUAUUCCUAUGUUGCCCAGACUGGUCUCGAACUCCUGAGCUCCAGCAAUCCUCCCACCUGCCAAAGUGCUAGGAUUACAGUUGAGCCACUGCACCCCACAGAGAUCUCACUGUGUUGCCCAGGCUGCAGUGCAGUGACAAUUCAUAGGCCCAGCAUGCUUUGAACGGCAUGCUUUGAGGUGAUCCUCCUGCCUCAGCCUCCCAAGUAGCUGGGACUACAGGCAUAUUCCACCACUUUCCUGGCUCAAGGAAUCCUCCUGCCUCAGCCUCCUGGGUAGCUGGGAGGACAAGUGUGUGUCACCACACCUGGACAACUGGGGGUGUAUUUGUAUCUUAUGGGAUGGAUAUUUGGUGAUUUGUUAUGAGCAAAUUGAUACCCUUCUGUUUGUGGAGAUUCUCUUGAAUCCUUUUUUCCAUACACUCCAUUUUCUUCUGUUUGGAACUCAUGUUUACUUAUGGAGUGGUCCUCAAAUUUUUAAAAGUUUAUAUUUUGCAUCUUUUUCUCUUUUCCCUCUAUUUUUGGGAGAUUUAAAUUUCUUUUUUUUUCUUUUUGAGGAGUCUCGCUGUCGCCCAGGCUGGAGUGCAGUGGCGCCGUCUCAGCUCACUGCAAGCUCCGCCUCCCGGGUUCACGCCAUUCUCCUGCGUCAGCCUCCCAAGUAGCUGGGACUACAGGUGCCCACCACCAUGCCCGGCUAAUUUCUUUGUAUUUUUAGUAGAGACAGGGUUUCACAGUGUUAGCCAGGAUGGUCUCCAUCUCCUGACCUCGUGAUCCGCCCGCCUUGGCCUCCCAAAGCGCUGGGAUUACACACGUGAGCCACCGCACCUGCCUCUGCAACUCAUUUUUUAUUUCUGCUAUUCUCUAAUUUCCAAAAUUCUGUUCUCUUGAUAUACCUUUACUGUGGUAUUGUUUUUCUUGGUUGCAGAAAGCUCUCAACUUUUCUAAGGGUACUGGUGAUUGAUAUUUUUGUUUACUUUUGCCUGUGCAGUCUGUUUUCAACUUGCCCGUUUCCAUUUUAAAAUUCAUAUUGAGACUGCCCUUAGAUGUCUGAUAAUCCUUAGUUGUCCAUUUACACACCCAUUAUAUAAAAUGUAUAGGGAAGGCCAGGCACGGUGGCUCACGCCUAUAAUCCCAGCACUUUGGGAGGCUGAGGUGGGUGGAUCACCUGAGGUCAGGAGUUUGAGACCAGCCUGUCUAAACAUGGCAAAACCCCAUCUUUAGUAAAAGCACAAACAGCUGGUUGCGUUGAUGCGUGCCUGCAGCCCCAGCUUCUCUGGAGGCUGAGGCUGGAGAAUCGCUUGAAUCCGGGAGGCGGAGGUAGUAGUGAGCCGAGAUCACGCCACUGCACUCCAGCCUGAGCAACAGAGCAAGAUUCUAUCACCCCCACCCCCCACCCCGCAAAAAAAAAAAUCAAUCUAUAUCUGAGAGAGAGUGUCUCACUCUGGCUGGAGUGCAGUGGCACAAUCUCAGCUCACAGCAACCUCUCCUUCCCAAAUUCAAGAGAUUCUCCUGGCUCAGCCUCCCAAGCAGCUGGAACUACAGGCACGUGCCACCACACUUGGCUAAUUUUUGUAUUUUUUUGUAGAGACAGGGUUUCACUGUGUUGGCCAGGCAGGUCUGGGACUCUUGGCCUCAAGUGAUCCGCCCACCUUGGCCUCCCAAAGGGCAGGGAUUACAGGUGUGAGCUACCAAGCCUGGCUCCACUCACCCUUUUGAGAAGGCUCAUGGCUACUUAGUUUACUUACAUUUUUUAAGAAUACAAUUAGUAUUUGUACCAGGUUACAUCUGUGUUCUCAUUCCAAGGCUAAUGUUUAUUCUUUGUUACAUUUAGAUGCUAAGUAGAGUUAGACAAGAAGUGCCCUCUAAUCCCAAAUAAAGGUAAAAUGAGUCAAAAUGCCACAGGAGGAAUUUGUUUCUUGAGAACAAAAGGUAUCUUAGGAACAUGUUCAUUUUACACAACUGCUGCAUUUACUAGGAACAAUAACCUUAGAAAUCUUGUUUGUAAAUCAAGGGGUCCAACUUCAUUUAAAAUGUUACUUGAUGCUUAAACACAAAUACCCACUAUCAUUAAUAUAGGAAUAAAUGAG